AUGUGCGUACUACGCCACCUUCACCGCCGCAAUCACCAUCAUAACCAUUCCUGCUUGUUAUUCCUUUUUCUCUUGUUCUCUUCUUCUUCAGCAAUAACCACUCUCGCACCACAACCCGGUACCGGAACAGUGAAGCACGAGGUUUCUGAAAAUCUGUCUCCGGCUUCACCGUGGGAAAGAGAUAUGACUCAACAGAAGAAGCUCAACGGUCCAGGUUCAGCACCUCCGUCAUGUAGAUCCAAGUGCGGUUGGUGCAACCCGUGUCACCCGGUUCACGUUCCGGUUCAACCCGGUUUAAUCAUACGGCUCGAGUAUUAUCCAGAAGCUUGGCGUUGCAAGUGUGGGAACAAGCUUUUUUUGCCUUGA
Vicia faba (fava bean) is the source of this 366-nucleotide non-coding RNA. Lineage: Eukaryota; Viridiplantae; Streptophyta; Magnoliopsida; Fabales; Fabaceae. The record is from the annotation of a GenBank genome assembly.